Long non-coding RNA from Notolabrus celidotus (New Zealand spotty), 886 nucleotides. RefSeq lists it as uncharacterized. The transcript has 3 exons. The record is from RefSeq and is a predicted model, not a curated record. Lineage: Eukaryota; Metazoa; Chordata; Actinopteri; Labriformes; Labridae.
AUGUGUUUCUUUUUCAGGUUCAACAAACUUUGUGUGACUUACAAUUUACUGUGAAACUGGGACUCACCAGAUACGGAUGAAGGGUGCUCCUCUGGGGGAAAUAAUGAAGCCACUUCUCCUGAAGUGACGGGUUGGCUUUUUAAAUCCUGAAAAUACAACGUGACACAACACCCCUUCAGAGGACACUCAGGAGAAAUGUCAGACGACAGAGGAGCUCCGCUGACAUCAGGGCACAGGCUGUCUUUCAUCAGGACGACAUUUGUGUCACAGGAGAUCUGGAGGACACGUUCGCGCAGGAUGUCGGGACUCUUAAGGAGCCAAAUUGUGCCGACAGUCGGCGCAGUUCAUGUGAUUAAGAGUCAGAGACGAUGGCGGCUCCAUUUCCUGUUGAAGGCAGUUUGAUUACAGACACUUUGAUAAACAAGUAGGUGACACCUCAAGCGGAAAAUUUCCCUUGUCAAUUUGAGUCUCUCAUCUCUGUCCCCUCCUCACACACACGCACACACAUACCUCCACACACACAUUGUCUAAUAAUGCCUUAACUGUGGCCCUGAUAGAAAGCAUUGGACUGUGACUGCCCCUGUAAUAACCUCAGACACCUUUACCUGCCUGCUGGAGCCCGGCUGUGAUCAAGUUCACAGAGAACCCAGUGAAACACAGCAAAAGUACAGUUCUUAUCUGAGAAUACAGUUAAAAAAUGCAGAUGUUAACAAAGCUUUUGAAAUGGAAACAGGAAACAUCUGCCUGCUGGUUGAGGCCAACACUUCUUAUUUCAAAUCAACUGAUAUGUGAAUGGCUGAUUAAAACACCAAGUUUUAAAGUUAUGAUCUGUUACUGCUCAUGCUGCAUGUGUUCAAUCCAAGCGGCAACCUCCAAUCUCAAAAUA